This 433-nucleotide ribosomal RNA is filed under the name uncultured bacterium. Its description in RNAcentral is "partial 16S ribosomal RNA". It matches the Rfam family "Bacterial small subunit ribosomal RNA", at positions 29 to 507 of the family's 1533-position model. The record is from RNAcentral.
AACGAACGCUGGCGGCAUGCCUAACACAUGCAAGUCGAACGAGACCUUCGGGUCUAGUGGCGCACGGGUGCGUAACGCGUGGGAACCUGCCCUUAGGUUCGGAAUAGCUCCCCGAAAGGGGUGCUAAUACCGGAUAAUGUCUUCGGACCAAAGAUUUAUCGCCUUUGGAUGGGCCCGCGUUGGAUUAGCUAGUUGGUAGGGUAAAAGCCUACCAAGGCGACGAUCCAUAGCUGGUCUGAGAGGAUGAUCAGCCACACUGGGACUGAGACACGGCCCAGACUCCUACGGGAGGCAGCAGUGGGGAAUAUUGGACGAUGGGCGAAAGCCUGAUCCAGCAAUGCCGCGUGAGUGAUGAAGGCCUUAGGGUUGUAAAGCUCUUUUACCCGGGAUGAUAAUGACAGUACCGGGAGAAUAAGCUCCGGCUAACUCCGUG